This 461-nucleotide ribosomal RNA is filed under the name uncultured bacterium. RNAcentral's name for it is "bacterial SSU rRNA". It matches the Rfam family "Bacterial small subunit ribosomal RNA", at positions 339 to 793 of the family's 1533-position model. The record is from RNAcentral.
CUACGGGAGGCAGCAGUGGGGAAUAUUGCACAAUGGGCGCAAGCCUGAUGCAGCCAUGCCGCGUGUAUGAAGAAGGCCUUCGGGUUGUAAAGUACUUUCAGCAGUGAGGAAGGUGGAUAUGUUAAUAGCAUAUUCAUUUGACGUUAGCUGCAGAAGAAGCACCGGCUAACUCCGUGCCAGCAGCCGCGGUAAUACGGAGGGUGCGAGCGUUAAUCGGAAUUACUGGGCGUAAAGCGCAUGCAGGUGGUUUGUUAAGUCAGAUGUGAAAGCCCGGGGCUCAACCUCGGAAUUGCAUUUGAAACUGGCAAACUAGAGUACUGUAGAGGGGGUAGAAUUUCAGGUGUAGCGGUGAAAUGCGUAGAGAUCUGAAGGAAUACCGGUGGCGAAGGCGGCCCCCUGGACAGAUACUGACACUCAGAUGCGAAAGCGUGGGGAGCAAACAGGAUUAGAUACCCUGGUAG